AACGAACGCUGGCGGCAUGCCUAACACAUGCAAGUCGAACGAUGCCUUCGGGCAUAGUGGCGCACGGGUGCGUAACGCGUGGGAAUCUGCCUUUCGGUUCGGAAUAACUCCGGGAAACUUGAGCUAAUACCGGAUAACGUCGCAAGACCAAAGAUUUAUCACCGAAAGAUGAGCCCGCGUAGGAUUAGCUAGUUGGUGAGGUAAAGGCUCACCAAGGCGACGAUCCUUAGCUGGUCUGAGAGGAUGAUCAGCCACACUGGGACUGAGACACGGCCCAGACUCCUACGGGAGGCAGCAGUGGGGAAUAUUGGACAAUGGGCGAAAGCCUGAUCCAGCAAUGCCGCGUGAGUGAUGAAGGCCUUAGGGUUGUAAAGCUCUUUUACCCGGGAAGAUAAUGACGGUACCGGGAGAAUAAGCCCCGGCUAACUCCGUG
This 433-nucleotide ribosomal RNA is filed under the name uncultured bacterium. Its description in RNAcentral is "partial 16S ribosomal RNA". It matches the Rfam family "Bacterial small subunit ribosomal RNA", at positions 29 to 507 of the family's 1533-position model. The record is from RNAcentral.